Molecule: ribosomal RNA, 490 nt
Filed under: uncultured bacterium
Lineage: Bacteria
Description: bacterial SSU rRNA
Rfam family: Bacterial small subunit ribosomal RNA
Source: RNAcentral
AAAUGAAUAGACGGGGACCCGCACAAGCGGUGGAUGAUGUGGAUUAAUUCGAUGCAACGCGAAAAACCUUACCUACCCUUGACAUGUUUGGAAGUUCGAAGAGAUUUGAAUGUGCUCGCAAGAGAACCAAAACACAGGUGCUGCAUGGCUGUCGUCAGCUCGUGUCGUGAGAUGUUGGGUUAAGUCCCGCAACGAGCGCAACCCUUGUCAUUAGUUGCUACGCAAGAGCACUCUAAUGAGACUGCCGGUGAUAAACCGGAGGAAGGUGGGGAUGACGUCAAGUCCUCAUGGCCCUUAUGGGUAGGGCUUCACACGUCAUACAAUGGUCAGGACAGAGGGUUGCCAAACCGCGAGGUGGAGCUAAUCUCAUAAACCUGAUCGUAGUCCGGAUUGCAGGCUGCAACUCGCCUGCAUGAAGUCGGAAUCGCUAGUAAUCGCGGAUCAGCAUGUCGCGGUGAAUACGUUCCCGGGUCUUGUACACACCGCCCGU